UAUUUAUUGGUGUAAGAGGCACGAAAGUUUUUGAUACUUAGGGAUACAGUUUAAUUCUGUUAUAAAUAA
This 69-nucleotide transfer RNA is filed under the name Serratella sp. Yunnan-2018. Its description in RNAcentral is "tRNA-Gln". The record is from RNAcentral. Lineage: Eukaryota; Metazoa; Arthropoda; Insecta; Ephemeroptera; Ephemerellidae.